GACGAACGCUGGCGGCGUGCUUAACACAUGCAAGUCGAACGGAAAGGCCCUGAUUUUGUGGCGUGCUCGAGUGGCGCACGGGUGAGUAACACGUGUGUAUCCUGCCCUUGUCUUUGGGAUAACUUUAGGGAAAUGGGGCUCAUACCGGAUAGGAUCUCCUGCUGCGUGGUGGGGGUUGGUAAGUUGCGGCGGUUGGGGCUGUACUCGCGGCUUAUGCGCUUGUUGGGGGGGUAGUGGCUUACCAAGGUUGUGACGGAUAGCCGGCUUGAGAGGGUGACCGGCCACAUGGGGACUGAGAGACGGCGCAGACUCCAACGUGAGGCAGCAGUGGAGAAUAUUGCACAAUGAGCGGAAGUCUGAUGCAGCAACGCCGCGUGCGGAAUGACGGCCUUCGGGGGGUAAACCGCUUUCGCCGGUGACGAAGCGUGAGUGACGGUAAUGGGUAAAGAAGCACCGGCUAACUACGUG
This 468-nucleotide ribosomal RNA is filed under the name uncultured bacterium. RNAcentral's name for it is "partial 16S ribosomal RNA". It matches the Rfam family "Bacterial small subunit ribosomal RNA", at positions 28 to 507 of the family's 1533-position model. The record is from RNAcentral.